CCUACGGGUGGCAGCAGUGGGGAAUAUUGGACAAUGGGCGCAAGCCUGACCCAGCAACGCCGCGUGAAGGAUGAAUGCUUUCGGGUUUUUAAACUCCUUUUAUAUGGAAGUGAAGAAGACUGUAUCUCUUGAAUAAGCCACGGCUAACUACGUGACAGCAGCCGCCGUAAUACGUAGGUGGCUAGCGUUGUCCGGUUUUACUGGGUGUAAAGGGCGUGUAGGCGGGCUGAUAAGUCAGUUGUGAAAUCCCGUGGCUCAACCACGGAACUGCAUUUGAAACUGUCGGUCUGGAGUAUAGGAGAGGCAGGCGGAAUUCGUGGUGUAGCGGUGAAAUGCGUAGAUAUUAGGAGGAACACUCAUUGCGAAGGCGGCCUGCUGGAACAUAACUGACGCUGAUGCGCGAAAGCGUGGGGAGCAAACAGGAUUAGAUACCCGGGUAGUC
RNAcentral lists this ribosomal RNA (442 nucleotides) under uncultured bacterium. Its description in RNAcentral is "partial 16S ribosomal RNA". It matches the Rfam family "Bacterial small subunit ribosomal RNA", at positions 338 to 795 of the family's 1533-position model. The record is from RNAcentral.